Long non-coding RNA from Sinocyclocheilus anshuiensis, 183 nucleotides. RefSeq lists it as uncharacterized. The record is from RefSeq and is a predicted model, not a curated record. Lineage: Eukaryota; Metazoa; Chordata; Actinopteri; Cypriniformes; Cyprinidae. The transcript is spliced from 3 exons.
UGGUGUCUGGUUUAGGGUUGCUGGGAGAUGUGUUCCUCCUCUUGAACCAGCAUAUUCUCUUUAUUCUACAGACUCUGAAGAUAAGGUGACAACAAUACAUAAGGGACUCGACCGAUGUGCCGCUUUACUCAAUGGGAUACUUCAAGCUGAGCAAGCAGAAUCAAAGCCCAAACCACAGGGAAC